CUUAUCCUUGACAAUAUAUGUGACAUAGUCAAACCACUAAUUUAGUGGAAAGAUGAAAAGAUCAUGAGAAAGGAGAUCUAGUUCAUAGUUCGUGGGAGAAUAAAAAGCAACCAAAACCUAAGCAAAGGCCAAGUAGCACAAGACAUUCUACAGUCGUUCCUGGGUGAUGAGUUGUUAUCUUGGAGCCUUCGAAGACCAUUGUAGAGACGAAGGAUGCGUGACAGACUUGGUUCUAGCGUUCUAUAUCAUCAGCUGAAGAAGUGAAUUUUAAUUACAGAUUCAACUCCAUAAGCUUCAGAGGGAAGGAAGGUUGGGUUGUUGGUUGCCAGAGGUUCGUGCCAACUCAUACUUGAUACCUCCGAGGAACGCGUGACACGUCAUCACCGUAAAAGAUCCCACAACAGUGUACAUGGUGGUAAUUUCGACACUGAACUUUUUGAAGAAAUGAUAUAUCUCUAUAUUUAUCAUCUCAUUGUACUUGAUUCUUUGUAUGCAGUGUACAUAUAUAUAAAUUUCCCUUCACUACUGUAAUAUGUUUAUUAUUCAUGCUUAGUUUAAAUCCCCUACAGUACUUGCUGCUAUUUGUUAUAAACGGGUCGAGUUCCUUUUGUGGCCUUUGACUUUCGAUUUAACAUGUUAUUUUAGCAGGUAUAACAGAUAAAGCAACUCAUGUUUACUGCAGCAAGCUGAGUAGUUAGAAAUUGUUAGGGCAUCAAGCUAGCCAAUGAGUAAGUGGCUAUGCAUUUGCCAGUCUUGUGUUUUUAAAAGAGGGUGUGGCAUAACUUUACUCUUUGUAGACAGCCUUAAGGUAAUUCUCUUCAGUCAUGGCACUUUCUUAUUGUGCUACCUCAUACUUGGGCCUUUUGAUGUUUUUUUCGAGGUCUGUAUUUAUUUCUAGAUUUGGGUAUGGACAAAGGAUUGAAAUUACAUAUUUAAGGAUGUUGGUUUUACCCAGAUAUGAUCUAAAUUAUCAGGUUUAAUAGGAUAACGCGUAAUCAUUUUAGUUUUUCCUUUUUUUGGUGGUGUUUAGGAUUUGGAGAAUUUGCGAAUUCAGCUACGAGGUUUAACGUGCAAUGGUUGGAGUUUGAUAAUUCCUAUUUCAAGGUACGUAUAUGUUGAGAGAUAUGAAGCUGGCCAGGAAGCAUGCAUUUAUCAAGGAUUACACUGAAGCCCAUACCAAACUCGACAACCUUGAAGCCACAUUUAUCCCCCCGAGUUCUGUCUUAUUCCCAAAUCUCAUGUAUUGGUUCUCUUUAACAUUUGUAUCUGGUUCUCCUCCUAUAAAAACUUUCCUUUCUUUUGGGGUGGGUGAGGUGUGAGCCUCAUACUAUUUGUAUCUAAAACUUUGUGCCCUCAAACCAUCAAGCCAUAAAUUAUCUUGAAGGCUAAUGUAUUAUAUAUGAAGUACUCCAAAAUACUGCUUAUGUUUUAUUGAUGUAUAUGAAAUACUUUGUAUUUCAUCCAUUCA
Molecule: long non-coding RNA, 1468 nt
Organism: Spinacia oleracea (spinach)
Lineage: Eukaryota; Viridiplantae; Streptophyta; Magnoliopsida; Caryophyllales; Amaranthaceae
Exons: 4
Source: RefSeq, a predicted model, not a curated record